Molecule: ribosomal RNA, 132 nt
Filed under: Minisyncoccota bacterium
Lineage: Bacteria; Bacillati; Minisyncoccota
Description: partial 16S ribosomal RNA
Rfam family: Bacterial small subunit ribosomal RNA
Source: RNAcentral
UUAAAUUAGAGUUUGAUCCUAGCUCAGGAUGAAUGCUGGCGGCGUGGAUAAGGCAUGCAAGUCGAGUGGGUUUAGACCCACGGCAGACGAGGUAGUAACACGUAGGAAUCUACCCUAGAGUCGAGCAUAUUC